GCGCUCGUAGCUCAAUUGGCAGAGCAGAGGACUCUUAAUCCUAAGGUUGAAGGUUCGAUUCCUUCCGAGCGCA
This 73-nucleotide transfer RNA is filed under the name bacterium. RNAcentral's name for it is "tRNA-Lys". It matches the Rfam family "tRNA". From Rfam's summary of the family: Transfer RNA (tRNA) molecules are approximately 80 nucleotides in length. Their secondary structure includes four short double-helical elements and three loops (D, anti-codon, and T loops). Further hydrogen bonds mediate the characteristic L-shaped molecular structure. tRNAs have two regions of fundamental functional importance: the anti-codon, which is responsible for specific mRNA codon recognition, and the 3' end, to which the tRNAs corresponding amino acid is attached (by aminoacyl-tRNA synthetases). tRNAs cope with the degeneracy of the genetic code in two manners: having more than one tRNA (with a specific anti-codon) for a particular amino acid; and 'wobble' base-pairing, i.e. permitting non-standard base-pairing at the 3rd anti-codon position. The record is from RNAcentral.